Molecule: ribosomal RNA, 765 nt
Filed under: uncultured Glomus
Lineage: Eukaryota; Fungi; Glomeromycota; Glomeromycetes; Glomerales; Glomeraceae
Description: SSU rRNA
Rfam family: Eukaryotic small subunit ribosomal RNA
Source: RNAcentral
UACCAUGGUGGUAACGGGUAACGGGGUGUUAGGGCACGACACCGGAGGGGGAGCCUGAGAAACGGCUACCACAUCCAAGGAUGGCAGCAGGCGCGCAAAUUACCCAAUCCCGACACGGGGAGGUAGUGACAAUAAAUAACAAUACGGGGUUCUUUAGGAUCUCGUAAUUGGAAUGAGUACAAUUUAAAUCUCUUAACGAGGAACAAUUGGAGGGCAAGUCUGGUGCCAGCAGCCGCGGUAAUUCCAGCUCCAAUAGCGUAUAUUAAAGUUGUUGCAGUUAAAAAGCUCGUAGUUGAAUUUCGGGGUCAGUAGGUCGGUCGUGCCACUGGUAUGAACUGGUUUUACUGAUUCCUCCCUCUUGAAGAACUGUAAUGCCAUUAAUUUGGUGUUGCAGGGAAUCAGGACUGUUACUUUGAAAAAAUUAGAGUGUUUAAAGCAGGCUUUAGCUUGAAUACAUUAGCAUGGAAUAAUGAAAUAGGACGUUUGAUCCUAUUUUGUUGGUUUCUAGGAUUGACGUAAUGAUUAAUAGGGAUAGUUGGGGGCAUUAGUAUUCAAUUGUCAGAGGUGAAAUUCUUGGAUUUAUUGAAGACUAACUACUGCGAAAGCAUUUGCCAAGGAUGUUUUCAUUAAUCAAGAACGAAAGUUAGGGGAUCGAAGACGAUCAGAUACCGUCGUAGUCUUAACCAUAAACUAUGCCGACUAGGGAUCGGAUGAUGUUAAUUUUUUAAUGACUCAUUCGGCGCCUUACGGGAAACCAAAGUGUUU